AGCAGCCGCGGUAAUUCCAGCUCCAAUAGCGUAUAUUAAAGUUGCUGCAGUUAAAAAGCUCGUAGUUGAAUUUCGGGACCGAUAUAUCGGUCGUGCCUCGGUACGUACUGGUAUUUUCGGUUUCUCCCUUCUGACGAACCUUGAUGUCAUUAAUUUGGUGUCUUGGGGAAUCAGGACUGUUACUUUGAAAAAAUUAGAGUGUUUAAAGCAGGCUCACGCUUGAAUACAUUAGCAUGGAAUAAUGAAAUAGGACGUUUGAUUCUAUUUUGUUGGUUUCUAGGAUCGACGUAAUGAUUAAUAGGGAUAGUUGGGGGCAUUAGUAUUCAAUUGUCAGAGGUGAAAUUCCUGGAUUUAUUGAAGACUAACUACUGCGAAAGCAUUUGCCAAGGAUGUUUUCAUUAAUCUAAGAACGAAAGUUAGGGAUCGAAGACGAUCAGAUACCGUCGUAGUCCUAACCAUAAACUAUGCCGACUACGGGAUCGGAUGAUGUUAAUUUUUAAUGUACUCAUUCGGCGCCUUA
Molecule: ribosomal RNA, 520 nt
Filed under: uncultured Glomus
Lineage: Eukaryota; Fungi; Glomeromycota; Glomeromycetes; Glomerales; Glomeraceae
Description: SSU rRNA
Rfam family: Eukaryotic small subunit ribosomal RNA
Source: RNAcentral